AAAGAGCUUGCUCUUUCCGGAAUUGAGUGGCAAACGGGUGAGUAACACGUAAACAACCUGCCUUCAGGAUGGGGAUAGCAGCUGGAAACGGCUGAUAAAACCGCAUAAGCGCACAGCAUCGCAUGAUGCAGUGUGAAAAACUCCGGUGGUAUAAGAUGGACCCGCGUUGGAUUAGCUAGUUGGUGAGGUAACGGCCCACCAAGGCGACGAUCCAUAGCCGACCUGAGAGGGUGACCGGCCACAUUGGGACUGAGACACGGCCCAAACUCC
This 270-nucleotide ribosomal RNA is filed under the name uncultured Eubacteriales bacterium. RNAcentral's name for it is "uncultured Clostridiales bacterium partial 16S ribosomal RNA". It matches the Rfam family "Bacterial small subunit ribosomal RNA", at positions 73 to 339 of the family's 1533-position model. Lineage: Bacteria; Bacillati; Bacillota; Clostridia; Eubacteriales. The record is from RNAcentral.